RNAcentral lists this unclassified non-coding RNA (669 nucleotides) under Anneissia japonica. Its description in RNAcentral is "uncharacterized LOC117108572, transcript variant X1". Lineage: Eukaryota; Metazoa; Echinodermata; Crinoidea; Comatulida; Comatulidae. The record is from RNAcentral.
UUGCCAUAUUUGCAUCGUUAUAUCAUUUAUUACAUUUUUUACUAUCAUAGAAGUAUUAUUACUAGGCUUCAAUCCAUUUUCAUUUCUCUGGCUUCCUGUUAUUCAAACUGUCAGUGUUUAUUCUGGGCUAAUGAUGUUUAAUUGUGUUCGAAGAUAAUUAUGCUGAGAGACAAAGAACUUUCCAGAAUCAUAUGAGAACGACAUUCAUGAUGAGAAAUCAUUAAUAUCAUGCAGAUACCAUCAUCUAUAUUACGGAUACCCUUUAAAAAAAAUGGUAUGGUCUAUUUUGAUAACAAAAUUAUUAAUAGUAUUGUUUGAGCAUGCACGAAUUAUAUUAUGGCCUAAUGCUUUUAAUCAAUGCGGCUGGAUCUACCUGACAAGAUCCACACAAUGCCCAUUAUUGAAAGGAAGACAUAUACAGGCAUUGCUAUUCCAUUCGGGAAAAACACCCGUGUUCAAAAAGCAGAGUGCACAGGAUGUAAUGUCACUUCAUUUACAUAGGUCACUAUCAAACAUCUUCGAGGCCUGCAUGGAGAAUCCCCAGCCACGCCCGAUUGAUUACAAUGCCUACUCUACCAAGAAAACGAUUGCAGAAGGUUUGUUGGACGUCGCUUUACUCCUUGCCAAUGCAUCACAAUUCAAAGUCUUGAUCAUACAAGGCCCUUCAUA